GACGAACGCUGGCGGCGUGCUUAACACAUGCAAGUCGAGCGGUAAGGCCCUUUCGGGGGUACACGAGCGGCGAACGGGUGAGUAACACGUGGGUGACCUGCCCUUAGCUCUGGGAUAAGCCUGGGAAACUGGGUCUAAUACCGGAUAUGACUCCAUGACGCAUGUUGUGGGGUGGAAAGCCUUGUGCGGCUAGGGAUGGGCCCGCGGCCUAUCAGCUUGUUGGUGGGGUGAUGGCCUACCAAGGCGACGACGGGUAGCCGGCCUGAGAGGGCGACCGGCCACACUGGGACUGAGAGACGGCCCAGACUCCUACGGGAGGCAGCAGUGGGGAAUCUUGCGCAAUGGGCGAAAGCCUGACGCAGCGACGCCGCGUGCGGGAGGACGGCCUCGGUCGUAACGACU
Molecule: ribosomal RNA, 402 nt
Filed under: uncultured bacterium
Lineage: Bacteria
Description: bacterial SSU rRNA
Rfam family: Bacterial small subunit ribosomal RNA
Source: RNAcentral